UCAUCUGAUCCAUUAAAGAAGAUGUCACAACAUUAGGACUACAGCUAAAAUCUACUCUGUGCUAUAUUCACCUAUUUAGAAGGUAAGCUCCUUGAGAGUAAUCUUGCUUUUCCAUUUGUACCUCCAGUGCUUAUAAAGUGCUUUGUACACAAUAAGGGAUUAAAUUGGGUUUUUUCCCCCCAAACUGUUAAUAUUGAUUCCAAGGCAGAAAGAAGAGCAGUAAGAGCUGGGGAACUGGGAUUAAGUGACCUGUCCAGGGUCACACAACUAGGAAGUAUCCGGAGCCAAAUUUGAACCCAGGACCUCUCCUUUCCAGGCCUGGCUCUAUCCACUAGGCCACCCACCUACCCCUAAUAAAUACUUUUUAAGUCUAUACAUAUAAUCAUUCUGUCUAGCUAAGACAAAAUCCAUAUCCAGGAAUACAUAGAAGUGGUUGUUUUUUUAAACCAUUAUAAUGAAUUUGUAAUCCAAGAACUUUAACAUUUAUUAGGCACACAUAGGGCUUUGCUAACAGGAAGCUCAAUUUGAUGGAGGUGAGGGAGUAGUGAUUAGGCAUAUUCAGGUUAACAGUACAAAAUAGCACAAGAUAAAUGCAUCACAAUGGCAUAAAACAACUUGUCAUAAGGUAUGAGAAAAGCAAGGGUUUUUCUAACUGCCUUGGGUGGGGAGAGUUCAUGAAUGAGGCUUCUCAGUUGGACUUUCAAGGGCAAGCUCAGGAUGAAGGAGUUUCAUUAACGCUCAAGACUUUUCAAACUGAGCAAGAGAAGCAAGGUAAACACACUUUCUUGCAUGUCUUUGGCCAAACAGGUCAAACUUUUAAAUGGUUUGACUUGGGGGUAAUUCACUUCCCAAAUCUUAAGGAGGAAGACAGGAAGGUAAGAAUAGCUUUCUGCCCACAGUUUUUAAAAUGCAUC
This 914-nucleotide long non-coding RNA is filed under the name Monodelphis domestica (gray short-tailed opossum). Its description in RNAcentral is "lncRNA (ENSMODG00000051397.1)". Lineage: Eukaryota; Metazoa; Chordata; Mammalia; Didelphimorphia; Didelphidae. The record is from RNAcentral.